GAGAGGGUUCUUUUCAGUGGAACUUCAGGAGCAAUAUCUUCUACCUCCAGACUCCCUUGUAGGUGCUUGAAGGAGUUGAGAAAGAUUUUCAGUGGAUAUACUUUCAGCCAUUAUCUUCAGCCCUGAGUCUUGAUCUAGGCUGUACAGAGGUUUGUAUCCUCAGAUUUGUAGUCCCCUUUCUUCAAUUUCCCUGGAGAGUGAGUGUCAAGUCUCUGGCUGCCUGAGGUACUUUCUGAUGGAUGGAGUUGUGUGUGUGCGGGGCAGGAGGCAGAGCAGCACUGUGACAUAAACUUUCAACUUACCCUUCUUGUUCUUGUCUUUCUCUCUUCUCAUUGCUGCCCACUGCUGUGCUAGAGCCUCUCUUUUAGUUUUCAUGGUACGUUGUCUCUAUGACACCCCCCCCCCGACCAUCGUCUCUUUUCCACGUAGUUCUAAAAUCAUAGCAUCUUCCUCAUGCACACCAUUGGAUCUAAUGUACAUGUUUUUUAAGAAGAGACCUUCAAUCCUUAGCAAGGUUUGCAGUGACCAAAGAGACAAUGGAAUUGUUCCUUUUGGUCAGAGAAAAUUACCCCACAUUUUUUGGUUGACUUCACAUGCUAUUCAUAAUCAUGCAUAAAAACAUUAAAAAAUACACAUAUAAAUGAAAGGAAGUCAUUCAUAGCUCUGUCACAUAUUUGGUAUAUGUUCUAGAUAAAAAAAAGUACCUAUCUGUCCAUAAAUAAUUUCCAUCUAUAGUAGUGAGUAUGCUCUAGUUAUUUAUCUGCAACAAAUAUUUUCUUCAGUUGUUAAUAAGAGGGGGAAUAUUUCUGGCUCAGGAACUAUGGGCCCACAUCCUAUUUUAUUAUAUCCACCCUUAAUUUUUCGUGUUUUGAGUCUGUCUAAUACUCUGCUGUUUUAGACAAUAUUUUAAAGGACAUACUGUCCACAAUUUUGUUUGUUGGGGAGAAUUCUCAUGCCAGCGUUCCAGAGGCUCUCUGAUUAUUGCUGGACAGGGAGCAGAAACGAAGCAAAGGGAAGGGCUGUGUGGACCAUGCUGGGGACCAGGCA
Molecule: long non-coding RNA, 1047 nt
Filed under: Mus musculus (house mouse)
Lineage: Eukaryota; Metazoa; Chordata; Mammalia; Rodentia; Muridae
Description: long non-coding RNA chr13:100931243-100932290
Source: RNAcentral